GACGAACGCUGGCGGCGUGCUUAACACAUGCAAGUCGAACGGAAAGGCCCUGCUUUUGUGGGGUUCUCGAGUGGCGAACGGGUGAGUAACACGUGAGUAACCUGCCCUUGACUUUGGGAUAACUUCAGGAAACUGGGGCUAAUACCGGAUAGGAGCUCCUGCUGCAUGGUGGGGGUUGGAAAGUUGCGGCGGUUGGGGUUGGACUCGCGGCUUAUCAGCUUGUUGGUGGGGUAGUGGCUUACCCAGGCUUUGACGGGUACCCGGCCUGAGAGCGUGAACGGCCACAUUGGGACUGAGGUACGCACCAGACUCGUACGGGAGGCAGCAGUGGGGAAUCUUGCACAAUGGGCGGAAGCCUGAUGAAGAAACGCCGCGUGCGUGAUGACGGCCUGCGGGUUGUGAACCGCUUUCGCCUGUGACGAAGCGGGAGUGACGGUACUGAGUAAAGAAGCACCGGCUAACUACGUG
Molecule: ribosomal RNA, 468 nt
Filed under: uncultured bacterium
Lineage: Bacteria
Description: partial 16S ribosomal RNA
Rfam family: Bacterial small subunit ribosomal RNA
Source: RNAcentral